This 506-nucleotide ribosomal RNA is filed under the name uncultured bacterium. RNAcentral describes it as "partial 16S ribosomal RNA". It matches the Rfam family "Bacterial small subunit ribosomal RNA", at positions 28 to 523 of the family's 1533-position model. The record is from RNAcentral.
GAUGAACGCUAGCUACAGGCUUAACACAUGCAAGUCGAGGGGUAACGAGAGGAAAGCUUGCUUUUCUUGUUGACGACCGGCGCACGGGUGAGUAACGCGUAUCCAACCUGCCUAUAACUAGGGAAUAACCUUGCGAAAGUAAGACUAAUACCCUAUGAUUUCCUUUGAUGACAUCAGAUUAGGAAUAAAGAUUUAUCGGUUAUAGAUGGGGAUGCGUCUGAUUAGCUUGUUGGCGGGGUAACGGCCCACCAAGGCAAAGAUCAGUAGGGGUUCUGAGAGGAAGGUCCCCCACAUUGGAACUGAGACACGGUCCAAACUCCUACGGGAGGCAGCAGUGAGGAAUAUUGGUCAAUGGGCGGAAGCCUGAACCAGCCAAGUAGCGUGCAGGAUGACGGCCCUAUGGGUUGUAAACUGCUUUUAUACAGGAAUAAAGUUAGCCACGUGUGGUUAUUUGUAGGUACUGUAUGAAUAAGGACCGGCUAAUUCCGUGCCAGCCGCCGCCGUAA